Molecule: ribosomal RNA, 251 nt
Filed under: uncultured bacterium
Lineage: Bacteria
Description: partial 16S ribosomal RNA
Rfam family: Bacterial small subunit ribosomal RNA
Source: RNAcentral
ACGUAUGGUGCAAGCGUUAUCCGGAUUUACUGGGUGUAAAGGGAGCGUAGACGGAGUGGCAAGUCUGGAGUGAAAACCCAGGGCUCAACCCUGGGACUGCUUUGGAAACUGUCAAUCUAGAGUGCUGGAGAGGUAAGUGGAAUUCCUAGUGUAGCGGUGAAAUGCGUAGAUAUUAGGAGGAACACCAGUGGCGAAGGCGGCUUACUGGACAGUGACUGACGUUGAGGCUCGAAAGCGUGGGGAGCAAACAG